This 460-nucleotide ribosomal RNA is filed under the name uncultured bacterium. RNAcentral's name for it is "partial 16S ribosomal RNA". It matches the Rfam family "Bacterial small subunit ribosomal RNA", at positions 338 to 795 of the family's 1533-position model. The record is from RNAcentral.
CCUACGGGGGGCAGCAGUGAGGAAUAUUGGUCAAUGGACGCAAGCCUGAACCAGCCAAGCCGCGUGCAGGAAGACUGCUCUAUGAGUUGUAAACUGCUUUUGUACGGGGGUAAACGCAGAUACGCGUAUCUGUCUGAAAGUAUCGUAAGAAUAAGGAUCGGCCAACUCCGUGCCAGCAGACGCGGUAAUACGGAGGAUUAAAGCGUUAUCCGGAUUUAUUGGGUUUAAAGGGUGCGUAGGCGGUCGGUUAAGUUAGAGGUGAAAGCCCGAGGCUCAACUUCGGAAUUGCCUUUGAUACUGUUCGUCUAGAGAGUAGUUGAGGUAGGCGGAAUGUAUGGUGUAGCGGUGAAAUGCUUAGAGAUCAUACAGAACACCGAUUGCGAAGGCAGCUUACCAAGCUACUUCUGACGUUGAGGCACGAAAGCGUGGGGAGCAAACAGGAUUAGAUACCCCAGUAGUC